Molecule: ribosomal RNA, 253 nt
Filed under: uncultured Blautia sp.
Lineage: Bacteria; Bacillati; Bacillota; Clostridia; Lachnospirales; Lachnospiraceae
Description: partial 16S ribosomal RNA
Rfam family: Bacterial small subunit ribosomal RNA
Source: RNAcentral
UACGUAGGGGGCAAGCGUUAUCCGGAUUUACUGGGUGUAAAGGGAGCGUAGACGGCGAUGCAAGCCAGAUGUGAAAGCCCGGGGCUCAACCCCGGGACUGCAUUUGGAACUGUGUGGCUGGAGUGUCGGAGAGGCAGGCGGAAUUCCUGGUGUAGCGGUGAAAUGCGUAGAUAUCAGGAGGAACACCGGUGGCGAAGGCGGCUUACUGGACAGUGACUGACGUUGAGGCUCGAAAGCGUGGGGAGCGAACAGG